This 1228-nucleotide long non-coding RNA is filed under the name Homo sapiens (human). RNAcentral's name for it is "non-protein coding LINC00518:5". Lineage: Eukaryota; Metazoa; Chordata; Mammalia; Primates; Hominidae. The record is from RNAcentral.
UCAGAGAGUCCUCUCUCUCGGCAUGGACACAAAAGAAAAGCCAUGUGAGGACACAGAGAGAAGGUGGCUGUCUACGAGCUAGGAAGAAAGGCCUCACCGGAAACCAACCCUCACAGCAGCUCCAUCUUGGACUUCCAGCCUCCGGAACUGUGAGAAAAUAAAUGUUUGCAAUUCAGGUCGGUUGUAUUUUGUGAAGGCCAUCCUAGCAAAUGAAUACUCCUAACAUUGUCUCUUUAAGAGCUCACCAGCCUGAGGUAGGAAUCAUUCCAUCUGUGUUACUAAUGAGACCGCUGAGGAUCAAAGGGGUUUUCCACCACAUCCACUCACCUCUACAUGGCGAAAACCAAGGGUUCACUCUCUGUCUUCAGGGAGCUCCACCCAGCAGCAGCGUUUGACAGAGCUGUUCACUUCCUCUUCCUGGAGCUGUGGCUUCCAGAGCCCAUGCUCAGCAGUUCCCCUCCUUCUUCGACUGCUCCUCUCUUAGGCUCAAAACCUGUAACAAUGCAUGGCACACGGAAGAUGUGAGAAUUUGCUGAAUAACUGAAUGGCACCAUGUUGCCUCACCUAAGGAUAAUGACUAAGAAUAGGAAAAAUUUACUGUGCAAAGAUCAGUUCUUAAUAGCUGUCUACAUCUCAGAACAAAAAAAAUUAGAUGUAAACCAUUGCACAAAGGAUUAGAUGAAAUUUUUUUGAAAAAUCAGACAUUGGAGGCUCAGAGCCACUCAGACAUUGGGAAGCAAGUUUGUCAAGAUGACAGAGAACCGAGGUAAUGGAUUCGAGUGAUGAAACAGGAAGUUCAUUCAUGAGUUUUUGGCCACACCUCCAAAGUGACGACUUAGCCAGAAAUGGGAUAACUGGGUUUCCCUACUUCUCUUUUAUCAUCCUCAAUGAGAGUGACCAAAUAUUAGAGCUAGAUGGAACCUUAGUGAAAAUCUGGCUACUCGUCCCGUCCCACCAGCCUGCCACCCAUUUCAAGUUUGAAGAGACAAAGACACAUGGACCUUAUGUAAUUACUGGGGAUUACCCCAGGAGUCUGUGGCAAAAGUCAGCUUCUUCCCUCCCUGCUUCCCCGCCCUGUCUCUGGUACUUUCUACCAACACUGGGCUGUUUCUGUGAUCACACUUAAGCGUACCUAACCUGCGAAUGCUGUAUAGAAGGUGCUAAUGAACAUGAUUUAGCUUUAACACUCAGUUUUCUAAAGGGACACGUGGGGGCAGCAAAUGUUUAG